GGACGAACGCUGGCGGCGUGCUUAACACAUGCAAGUCGAACGGAGAGGCCCUGCUUUUGUGGGGUGCUCGAGUGGCGAACGGGUGAGUAACACGUGAGUAACCUGCCCUUGACUUUGGGAUAACUUCAGGAAACUGGGGCUAAUACCGGAUAGGAGCUCCUGCUGCAUGGUGGGGGUUGGAAAGUUUCGGCGGUUGGGGAUGGACUCGCGGCUUAUCAGCUUGUUGGUGGGGUAGUGGCUUACCAAGGCUUUGACGGGUAGCCGGCCUGAGAGGGUGACCGGCCACAUUGGGACUGAGAUACGGCCCAGACUCCUACGGGAGGCAGCAGUGGGGAAUAUUGCACAAUGGGCGGAAGCCUGAUGCAGCAACGCCGCGUGCGGGAUGACGGCCUUCGGGUUGUAAACCGCUUUCGCCUGUGACGAAGCGUGAGUGACGGUAAUGGGUAAAGAAGCACCGGCUAACUACGUG
This 469-nucleotide ribosomal RNA is filed under the name uncultured bacterium. RNAcentral describes it as "partial 16S ribosomal RNA". It matches the Rfam family "Bacterial small subunit ribosomal RNA", at positions 27 to 507 of the family's 1533-position model. The record is from RNAcentral.